Molecule: ribosomal RNA, 399 nt
Filed under: Serratia symbiotica
Lineage: Bacteria; Pseudomonadati; Pseudomonadota; Gammaproteobacteria; Enterobacterales; Yersiniaceae
Description: bacterial SSU rRNA
Rfam family: Bacterial small subunit ribosomal RNA
Source: RNAcentral
GGCGGCAGGCCUAACACAUGCAAGUCGAGCGGUAGCACAAGAGAGCUUGCUCUCUGGGUGACGAGCGGCGGACGGGUGAGUAAUGUCUGGGAAACUGCCUGAUGGCGGGGGAUAACUAGUGGAAACGGUAGCUAAUACCGCAUAACGUCGCAAGACCAAAGUGGGGGACCUUCGGGCCUCACGCCAUCAGAUGUGCCCAGGUGGGAUUAGCUGGUAGGUGGGGUAACGGCUCACCUAGGCGACGAUCCCUAGCUGGUCUGAGAGGAUGACCAGCCACACUGGAACUGAGACACGGUCCAGACUCCUACGGGAGGCAGCAGUGGGGAAUAUUGCACAAUGGGCGCAAGCCUGAUGCAGCCAUGCCGCGUGUGUGAAGAAGGCCUUCGGGUUGUAAAGCAC